This is a non-coding RNA of Parelaphostrongylus tenuis, 70 nucleotides long. The record is from the annotation of a GenBank genome assembly. Lineage: Eukaryota; Metazoa; Nematoda; Chromadorea; Rhabditida; Metastrongylidae.
ACCUCUAUAGUGUAGUGGUACACGCGUCCUCGAUAUGGAUGAAACGCGGGUUCAAUUCCCGCCUGAUGUC